Labrus mixtus (cuckoo wrasse) is the source of this 3148-nucleotide RNA transcript. It is a transcript of the gene named putative C-type lectin domain family 20 member A, with no coding region annotated. NCBI's taxonomy places the organism in Eukaryota, Metazoa, Chordata, Actinopteri, Labriformes, Labridae. The record is from RefSeq and is a predicted model, not a curated record. The transcript is spliced from 6 exons.
GUACAUCUUAUUUUCAUUACUUUAUAAAAAUCAUUAUGGUUGUAAAAAGAUGAUUAGGCAUAUUAAUAACGGAACGGACGCAUAGACCUUGUCUUGCCGACUUUAAGAAUACGGUCCUUACUGUUUUUAUCUAUUUUUGUUUUAAGCCUUUUAUUUUGAAAAACAGACAUCUACGCAUGUUUACCUUUAACAAACGUGUUUUUGAGUCGUGUCAUUGUAUCACGUAUGCUUUUUGGAUUUCAUUGAUGUAAUGCUGUCUUUGUCAUUUAUGUUUUUUGUUCUGUUUCUUAUUCUCAUGUUUGUUUUACUUUUCAGUAGUCAAGUCAAGAGAUGGAUUAUAGAUUGGCUUUGCUUUUAUCCGUCUUUGGACUCUGCAGCCCUUCCCUUUACGUGCUUCGACAGUUUCACUACAUCGACUUGAAUAUGACCUGGGCCGACGCUCAACAUUACUGCAGAGAUAAGUACAGCGACCUGGUGACCAUUGAAAGCGCGUCUGACAUCAGCAGGCUCAACAGACCUGACGUCUCAAAAGCAUGGAUUGGUCUACAUGACGAUCCGGAGGACUGGAAGACUAUGGGCAACGAAACCAACUCCUGGAGAUGGUCAAGUACCGGUGCAACCAGCAAAACUGGUUAUUACAACUGGGUAACAAAUCGGCCAGAUAACUGGCGAGGAGAGUUUUGUGUGAUGGCAAAGUCGAGUCAUGUCUGGGAUGAUACGGAUUGUAACACAGGAAUGUGGUUUCUUUGUUACACAGCUACAAAUCCUGCAAGCCAGAAAACAUAUGUCUUAAUCCAAGAAGCGAAGAAUUGGAAGAAUGCCCAGACCUACUGCAGAACACACCACACUGACCUGGCUAUGAUCGAGAAUGCUGAGGAAUUUGCAAACAUGGUGUCAGUAAAGGGUCCUCGUCAGGGGUGGAUCGGCUUGUAUCGAGAAGCAUGGAGGUGGUCCGACAACAGAGACAGCUCCUUCAGGAACUGGAAAGUGUAUAAGCCAGAUAACUAUCACAGUUUCUGUGUGAUGAGUGAUGAGCAAUACCAAUGGGAUGACAUUCAUUGUAAAGACAAGCUUCCCUUCUGGUGCCAGGAAGUCCCCAAACAGCACAUCUUGAUGAAGUUGAAGAUUCAGACUGAUGCGGACCUUUCAGAUCCAGCUGUAAACGCCAAGCUCCUGCAACAGUUAGAUGCUUUGCUUCCUGAAACGACGGGACAGGCUCACCUAAAACUGAAGUGGAAGAUUCAACCCAGAAAACAAGAGGAGGAGAAGGAGAAAGCCGAGGAUCAGUGCCCACUGAAGUGAAGGCCGGCUAAGCUACGUUUACUGUUUGAAAGUUUCAAGCCUCUUUGGGGUCGGUUUGAGGGUAGAGUCAGUAGCUUUUGUCGUUGCAGCUUGUAAACAAAACAUUUAAUCUGGGCCCCUCCUCCUGGACUCCCUGCAGGAUGUCUUUUGGUCUGCCUAUAUUGCAAACUAGCUAAACAACUCAAUCAAUGUAUUCAAAUAGAAAAUCCUGACUUGUUACACUCCUUUUAUUUCACUGCAAUACCUGGAUAGUCGAUUCUGAUUGGUUAAUUGGUAUUCUCCAAGUUUCUCCAGUUUCCAAGUAGAGUGAAACCUCCAAAACCAAAAUGACUUAUAGAGACAGUGCUGACAUUUGACUGUCUAAUGCAAGAUGUUACCAACAUCAUCAGGUGACCUCUUCCAGAUACCUCAUUUUCAUAUGGAAAUAGAAGCCUUGUAGAAACAUCUGGAUGGUUUGUUUAAUUGGUGGUGGUGGUGUUGUUGUUGCUGGGUGUUUACAUUUGGGCUUUGGUCUCUGUCUUGUAAACCUGUUUGGGGGCGGGGCAUUUUGUUCAUGCAUGACACGAUUAUCAAGUCAAAUCAGAAGCUUUCCAAAAGGGAACCUGCAGAUGCUUUUGUUUCCAGUAUUGGGCAAUGGCUGGUGAUACCUAUUGCUAACAGGGGAAUAUGCAGUUUUGUUGUUUUGAUUAACAAUUAAAUCAAUCUGGUAGAGUUAAAAAAUUAAAGUUAGGAGCCCCAACUGAGUAGUUUCUUCUCUUGUGGUACUUUCCAUGUGUUUCUGUCCCCUUACCCAUUCCCCUGUUGGGUAGGCUUCCUUUGGAUGAUCAGUUAUAAUCUUUAUACAUUUUUUCAUAUUCCUUGAUGUAGUGGUCUUUAUUCCCAUCAACGUUUUAAUCCCUUCCUAAACUUGUCAAUAUAUAGACGACAAUGAACCAUCACUGACAAAUAGCUGUUUUGAGAGUGAUAUCUACUAUUAGACUAAAGACUCUGACACACCAAGGAGGUCGUCGGCCCAGUCGGUGAGAGGAAUCUCUCUGAUUGGCUGUUGGGAGGUUUCAUUUCUCUCCAGCUCUCCUCUCAGGUUCAGUAAAGCCCCUUGAGCAUGUCUCUGUAGUCUCCAUGCUUUCACCCAUUAGUGCGGUUUCUCUUUAUUUGUCUCCUCCGCCUCUUCUUUUCUUUUUUCCACUAAAAGACAAAGAGCUGACAACGCCAGCGCCAUUUUCAACUUUUUAUCAGACAUUAUUCUCCAUUAGUAGACGACCUAUAAUACGAGUGGUGAGCGACAGCGGUGUGAAAACGGUCUUCUCGUAUCAUAGCAACGGACUACCGCCCCCUGCUGGCAUGGAGAGUUAUUUCCUCUCACACAUGUGCAGAACUUACGUGGUGAUUGGCCGUCAGCUGUAGUCUUUGCGAUGUGUUCAAGUGACACUUUUUGGACCAAGACGUGAGGUGACGCCACAGGCCGCGUUCGUCGCCACUAGUUCUUUGCCGCCUGCUCGGUGUGUCAGGGCCUUAAAGUAAGCGCAAGCUGGUGUAUUUAUUCAUAUUUAGGGUUUUUUGGGCCUUUUUGCCUUUAUUGAAUAGGACAGCUGCAGACAGGAAAUGUUGGGACGAGAGCGUACGGGAUGAUAUGCAGCGAGGGUUUUGUGCUUUUGUUUGAUUUCCCUUGUAGGAAGGAUCUGGAGCACUCAGUACAAUAAGAUAAUGACUGUGUUUACUCUAUAUUUAUCGUGUUAUACCCUUCUGUUUAUGUAUUUAGUUAACAUUUUGCCAUAGUUGAAAUAAAGCAUUAAGUUGUUUCGAUGUGUGUUAAAAAAAAAUAAACAAUGGUCAUACAUGAAGACAA